This 255-nucleotide ribosomal RNA is filed under the name uncultured bacterium. Its description in RNAcentral is "partial 16S ribosomal RNA". It matches the Rfam family "Bacterial small subunit ribosomal RNA", at positions 524 to 776 of the family's 1533-position model. The record is from RNAcentral.
UACGUAGGGUCCGAGCGUUUGUCCGGAAUUAUUGGGCGUAAAGAGCUCGUAGGCGGCUUGUCGCGUCGAAUGUGAAAUCUCAGGGCUCAACUCUGACAUUGCAUUCGAUACGGGCAGGCUAGAGUUCGGUAGGGGAGACUGGAAUUCCUGGUGUAGCGGUGAAAUGCGCAGAUAUCAGGAGGAACACCGGUGGCGAAGGCGGGUCUCUGGGCCGAUACUGACGCUGAGGCACGAAAGCGUGGGGAGCGAAACAGG